This 464-nucleotide ribosomal RNA is filed under the name uncultured bacterium. RNAcentral describes it as "bacterial SSU rRNA". It matches the Rfam family "Bacterial small subunit ribosomal RNA", at positions 28 to 507 of the family's 1533-position model. The record is from RNAcentral.
GACGAACGCUGGUGGCGUGCCUAACACAUGCAAGUCGAGCGAGGAGAGUUCCUUCGGGAACAAACCUAGCGGCGGACGGGUGAGUAACACGUGGGCAACCUGCCCUGUAGAGGGGAAUAGCCUUCCGAAAGGAAGAUUAAUACCGCAUAACAUUACAGUUUCGCAUGAAACAGUAAUUAAAGGAGCAAUCCGCUACAAGAUGGGCCCGCGGCGCAUUAGCUAGUUGGUGAGGUAACGGCUCACCAAGGCGACGAUGCGUAGCCGACCUGAGAGGGUGAUCGGCCACAUUGGGACUGAGACACGGCCCAGACUCCUACGGGAGGCAGCAGUGGGGAAUAUUGCACAAUGGGGGAAACCCUGAUGCAGCAACGCCGCGUGAGUGAUGAAGGUUUUCGGAUCGUAAAGCUCUGUCUUCGGGGACGAUGAUGACGGUACCCGAGGAGGAAGCCACGGCUAACUACGUG